RNAcentral lists this microRNA precursor (67 nucleotides) under Olea europaea subsp. europaea. Lineage: Eukaryota; Viridiplantae; Streptophyta; Magnoliopsida; Lamiales; Oleaceae. The record is from RNAcentral.
UGUUAACAGCCAAAAGACUGUUGGCUGUUAAGUCAGCUGUUUAACAGCCAACAGUCGGCUGUUAACA